Molecule: long non-coding RNA, 148 nt
Organism: Camarhynchus parvulus
Lineage: Eukaryota; Metazoa; Chordata; Aves; Passeriformes; Thraupidae
Exons: 3
Source: RefSeq, a predicted model, not a curated record
AAAGUCACAUGCCAGUCUUAGCUGGAAAGCAAAGAAAAGAGAUUCAAACAAUUUCAGAGGGUGUAACUAAACCACAUGUGGUUUACCAUUGCUCUUUACCAUAAAUCAGAAGAAUGAUGAAAAUUGUGGAAAAAGGAUUAAAACAGGC